GACGUAGGGUGCAAGCGUUGUCCGGAUUUACUGGGCGUAAAGAGCGCGCAGGCGGUCGUUCAAGUCGAGUGUGAAAGCCCCCGGCUCAACUGGGGAGGGUCACUCGAUACUGAUCGACUUGAAGGCAGGAGAGGGAAGCGGAAUUCCCGGUGUAGUGGUGAAAUGCGUAGAUAUCGGGAGGAACACCAGUGGCGAAGGCGGCUUCCUGGCCUGUUCUUGACGCUGAGGCGCGAAAGCUAGGGGAGCAAACGGG
Molecule: ribosomal RNA, 253 nt
Filed under: uncultured bacterium
Lineage: Bacteria
Description: partial 16S ribosomal RNA
Rfam family: Bacterial small subunit ribosomal RNA
Source: RNAcentral